UACGUAGGGUGCAAGCGUUGUCCGGAAUUAUUGGGCGUAAAGAGCUCGUAGGCGGCUUGUCGCGUCGGCUGUGAAAACCUGGGGCUCAACCCCGGGCCUGCAGUCGAUACGGGCAGACUAGAGUGCGGUAGGGGAGACUGGAAUUCCUGGUGUAGCGGUGAAAUGCGCAGAUAUCAGGAGGAACACCGGUGGCGAAGGCGGGUCUCUGGGCCGUAACUGACGCUGAGGAGCGAAAGCGUGGGGAGCGAACAGG
Molecule: ribosomal RNA, 253 nt
Filed under: uncultured bacterium
Lineage: Bacteria
Description: partial 16S ribosomal RNA
Rfam family: Bacterial small subunit ribosomal RNA
Source: RNAcentral